AGAGUUUGAUCCUGGCUCAGAUUGAACGCUGGCGGCAUGCCUUACACAUGCAAGUCGAACGGCAGCACGAGAGCUUGCUCUUGGUGGCGAGUGGCGAACGGGUGAGUAAUAUAUCGGAACGUACCCUAGAGUGGGGGAUAACGUAGCGAAAGUUACGCUAAUACCGCAUACGAUCUACGGAUGAAAGUGGGGGAUCGCAAGACCUCAUGCUCAUGGAGCGGCCGAUAUCUGAUUAGCUAGUUGGUGGGGUAAAAGCUCACCAAGGCGACGAUCAGUAGCUGGUCUGAGAGGACGACCAGCCACACUGGAACUGAGACACGGUCCAGACUCCUACGGGAGGCAGCAGUGGGGAAUUUUGGACAAUGGGCGCAAGCCUGAUCCAGCAAUGCCGCGUGAGUGAAGAAGGCCCUCGGGUUGUAAAGCUCUUUUGUCAGGGAAGAAACGGUGGACUCUAAUACAGAUCACUAAUGACGGUACCUGAAGAAUAAGCACCGGCUAACUACGUGCCAGCAGCCGCGGUAAUACGUAGGGUGCAAGCGUUAAUCGGAAUUACUGGGCGUAAAGCGUGCGCAGGCGGUUGUGCAAGACAGAUGUGAAAUCCCCGGGCUCAACCUGGGAAUUGCAUUUGCGACUGCACGGCUAGAGUGUGUCAGAGGGGGGUAGAAUUCCACGUGUAGCAGUGAAAUGCGUAGAGAUGUGGAGGAAUACCGAUGGCGAAGGCAGCCCCCUGGGAUAACACUGACGCUCAUGCACGAAAGCGUGGGGAGCAAACAGGAUUAGAUACCCUGGUAGUCCACGCCCUAAACGAUGUCUACUAGUUGUCGGGUCUUAAUUGACUUGGUAACGCAGCUAACGCGUGAAGUAGACCGCCUGGGGAGUACGGUCGCAAGAUUAAAACUCAAAGGAAUUGACGGGGACCCGCACAAGCGGUGGAUGAUGUGGAUUAAUUCGAUGCAACGCGAAAAACCUUACCUACCCUUGACAUGUCUGGAAUCCUUGAGAGAUCAGGGAGUGCUCGAAAGAGAAUCAGAACACAGGUGCUGCAUGGCUGUCGUCAGCUCGUGUCGUGAGAUGUUGGGUUAAGUCCCGCAACGAGCGCAACCCUUGUCAUUAGUUGCUACGAAAGGGCACUCUAAUGAGACUGCCGGUGACAAACCGGAGGAAGGUGGGGAUGACGUCAAGUCCUCAUGGCCCUUAUGGGUAGGGCUUCACACGUCAUACAAUGGUACAUACAGAGGGCCGCCAACCCGCGAGGGGGAGCUAAUCCCAGAAAGUGUAUCGUAGUCCGGAUUGUAGUCUGCAACUCGACUACAUGAAGUUGGAAUCGCUAGUAAUCGCGGAUCAGCAUGUCGCGGUGAAUACGUUCCCGGGUCUUGUACACACCGCCCGUCACACCAUGGGAGCGGGUUUCACCAGAAGUGGGUAGCCUAACCGCAAGGAGGGCGCUCACCACGGUGGGAUUCGUGACUGGGGUGAAGUCGUAACAAGGUA
RNAcentral lists this ribosomal RNA (1491 nucleotides) under metagenome. RNAcentral describes it as "bacterial SSU rRNA". It matches the Rfam family "Bacterial small subunit ribosomal RNA". The record is from RNAcentral.